Molecule: ribosomal RNA, 253 nt
Filed under: uncultured bacterium
Lineage: Bacteria
Description: partial 16S ribosomal RNA
Rfam family: Bacterial small subunit ribosomal RNA
Source: RNAcentral
UACAGAGGUCUCAAGCGUUGUUCGGAUUCAUUGGGCGUAAAGGGUGCGUAGGCGGCGCGGUAAGUCGGGUGUGAAAUCUCGGAGCUUAACUCCGAAACUGCAUUCGAUACUGCCGUGCUUGAGGACUGGAGAGGAGACUGGAAUUUACGGUGUAGCGGUGAAAUGCGUAGAUAUCGUAAGGAAGACCAGUGGCUAAGGCGGGUCUCUGGACAGUUCCUGACGCUGAGGCACGAAGGUCAGGGGAGCAAACGGG